RNAcentral lists this long non-coding RNA (536 nucleotides) under Vigna radiata. Its description in RNAcentral is "long non-coding RNA (VRAD_LNC011358)". Lineage: Eukaryota; Viridiplantae; Streptophyta; Magnoliopsida; Fabales; Fabaceae. The record is from RNAcentral.
UAAUUUAACUUGUAAUUGUUAUUUUAAUUAAUUUGAAUUAUUUGAGCUUAAAUUAUUCCAAUUAUUAUUUGCAGAACAAUUUUGGAAUCAUAUUUUGGGACAACAAGAGUGUUGCCAUACCAUUCACCAUUAUCCACGUCAUCAUUUUAUUCUUAUUCUGUUUUUAAUGUAAUUGGGUCAAACUUUGUGACUUUAGGCCCAUUUUUGGUAGAUUUUGUAGAAGUCCAUAUGAAGGACAACAUUGUAAAAGGGGUUUUUAAAACCCUUGAAUCAGAUUUGGAGACUCUUCUUCCCCUCUACUCAUUCUCCUUUUAUGCAUUGGGACAUUUUCAGCUCCCCCUAUUUUGGGGUUUGGGUUUGCUUUCAUUUUCCCCUUUCUUGUACCGAGUCAAUUUCGUUUUUAAUUGCUAUUUUGUCUAUUUUUCUUAUUGUUGUUUAAAUCUCGCAUUAGCAUUUCAAUUUUGUCCAAAUUUUCGCUUUGCAUUUUGUUCCAACUUCCCAUAUUCCGUUCCAACUUUGCAUUUUCGUUCCAACUU